GGAUAAACCGCGAUAGGCCAAGAUUUCUGGAAUGGAUCAUGGCUGAAAUCUAUAUGGCCCUUGGAUUGGACUGCGGCCGAUCAGGCUGUUGGUGAGGUAAUGGCCCACCAAACCUAUAACCGGUACGGGCUUUGAGAGAAGGAGCCCGGAGAUGGGCACUGAGACAAGGGCCCAGGCCCUAUGGGGCGCAGCAGGCGCGAAAACUCUGCAAUAGGCGAAAGCUUGACAGGGUUACUCUGAGUGAUGUCCGUUAAGGGCAUCUUUUGGUACCUCUAAAAAUGGUGCAGAAUAAGGGGUGGGCAAGUCUGGUGUCAGCCGCCGCGGUAAUACCAGCACCCCGAGUGGUCGGGACGAUUAUUGGGCCUAAAGCAUCCGUAGCUUGUCCUGCAAGUCUUCCGUUAAAUCCACCUGCUCAACAGAUGGGCUGCGGAGGAUACUACAGGGCUAGGAGGCGGGAGAGGCAAGCGGUACUCAGUGGGUAGGGGUAAAAUCCUCUGAUCCACUGAAGACCACCAGUGGCGAAGGCGGCUUGCCAGAACGCGCUCGACGGUGAGGGAUGAAAGCUGGGGGAGCAAACCGGAUUAGAUACCCCGGGUAGUCCCAGCUGUAAACGAUGCAGAUUCGGUGAAUGGGGUUGGCUUUCGAGCCAACCCAGGUGCCGCAGGGAAAGCCGUUAAGUCUGCCGCCUGGGGGAGUACGGGUCGCAAGGGCUGAAACUUAAAAGGAAUUGGGCGGGGGGAGCAC
Molecule: ribosomal RNA, 744 nt
Filed under: uncultured archaeon
Lineage: Archaea
Description: bacterial SSU rRNA
Rfam family: Archaeal small subunit ribosomal RNA
Source: RNAcentral